This 421-nucleotide ribosomal RNA is filed under the name uncultured bacterium. Its description in RNAcentral is "partial 16S ribosomal RNA". It matches the Rfam family "Bacterial small subunit ribosomal RNA", at positions 360 to 773 of the family's 1533-position model. The record is from RNAcentral.
AAUACGUCACACUGGGGGCAACCGUGAUACAGCCAUGUAGCGUGUGUAAAGAAGGUCUUCGGAUUGUAAAGCACUUUCAGUUGGGUGGAAGGGCUUUAGGUUAAUACCCUGAUGUUUAGACGAUACCAACAGACUAUGCACCGGCUAACUCUGUGCCAGCAGCCGCGGUAAUCCAGAGGUUGCAAGCGUUAAUCGGAAUUACUGGGCGUAAAGCGCGCGUAGGUGAUGCAGUAAGAUGGGAGUGAAAGCCCCGGGAUGAACCUGGGAACUGCAUUCAUAACUGCUAAGCUAGAGUACGGUAGAGGGUAGUGGAAUUUCCUGUGUAGCAGUGAAAUGCGUAGAUAUAGGAAGGAACACCAGUGGCGAAGGCGACUACCUUGACUGAUACUGACACUGAGGUGCGAAAGCGUGGGGAGCAAAC